This 253-nucleotide ribosomal RNA is filed under the name uncultured bacterium. RNAcentral describes it as "partial 16S ribosomal RNA". It matches the Rfam family "Bacterial small subunit ribosomal RNA", at positions 524 to 776 of the family's 1533-position model. The record is from RNAcentral.
UACGGAGGGUGCAAGCAUUAAUCGGAUUUAUUGGGCGUAAAGGGCGCGUAGGCGGGAAGAAAAGUUGGAUGUGAAAUCCUGAGGCUCAACCUCAGAACAGCAUUCAAAACUGACUUUCUAGAGGGUAGAAGGAGAAAACGGAAUUCCACAAGUAGCGGUGAAAUGCGUAGAUAUGUGGAAGAACGCCGGUGGCGAAGGCGGUUUUCUAUUUUAUACCUGACGCUGAGGCGCGAAAGCAAGGGGAUCAAACAGG